UACGUAGGGAGCAAGCGUUGUCCGGAAUCAUUGGGCGUAAAGCGCGCGUAGGCGGCCCCGUAAGUCCGCUGUGAAAGUCAAAGGCUCAACCUUUGAAAGCCGGUGGAAACUGUGGGGCUAGAGUCCGGAAGAGGCGAGUGGAAUUCCUGGUGUAGCGGUGGAAUGCGCAGAUAUCAGGAGGAACACCAAUAGCGAAGGCGGCUCGCUGGGACGGUACUGACGCUAAGGCGCGAAAGCGUGGGGAGCGAACAGG
This 253-nucleotide ribosomal RNA is filed under the name uncultured bacterium. RNAcentral's name for it is "partial 16S ribosomal RNA". It matches the Rfam family "Bacterial small subunit ribosomal RNA", at positions 524 to 776 of the family's 1533-position model. The record is from RNAcentral.